RNAcentral lists this microRNA precursor (65 nucleotides) under Callorhinchus milii (elephant shark). Its description in RNAcentral is "Cmi-Mir-15-P2a_pre stem-loop". It matches the Rfam family "mir-16 microRNA precursor family", at positions 10 to 75 of the family's 82-position model. Rfam says of the family: The hairpin precursors (represented here) are predicted based on base pairing and cross-species conservation -- their extents are not known. In this case the mature sequence is excised from the 5' arm of the hairpin. Lineage: Eukaryota; Metazoa; Chordata; Chondrichthyes; Chimaeriformes; Callorhinchidae. The record is from RNAcentral.
UAGCAGCACGUAAAUAUUGGAGUUACGCUUUUUCCAAUGCCCCCAGUAUUAAUUGUGCUGCUGGA